Molecule: long non-coding RNA, 464 nt
Organism: Cebus imitator (Panamanian white-faced capuchin)
Lineage: Eukaryota; Metazoa; Chordata; Mammalia; Primates; Cebidae
Exons: 2
Source: RefSeq, a predicted model, not a curated record
UUGACCUCGUGAUCCACCCGCCUCAGCCUCCCAAAGUGCUGAGAUUACAGGCGUGAGCCACCUCAUGCUGCGGGCCUCCCUUCUUCUUUACAGGGGUGUCCUGAGAGGUCGUCAGGCACUGUGGUCAUUUCCAGCUCCGUUCUCAUCACUGCCGAUCUGGAGCCGUCUGGGCAAGGGUGCCCGGCGCAGAGAGUUCACGGUGGCUGCGGUGACCGUGCUGGCCGCAGUCGUCACCCUGGUGUGGCAUUCAUUGCUUUCCUUCCACACUUUAAGAGCAGCUCUGCUGUAUAAGAUGUUUCUGGAAUGCAGAUGACUCUGUGCACUCCAGGCAUGAAAGGAAACAUGCCUGACCUCAGCCUGAAGCCCACUGCUCUAGACCAGGUGUCAGCAAACUACAGCCUGCCGGCCAGAUUGGGCCCGACACCUGUGUUUGCAAAUAAAGGUUUUCUUUUUCUUUUCUUUUU